CCUACGGGUGGCAGCAGUGGGGAAUAUUGGACAAUGGGCGAAAGCCUGAUCCAGCCAUGCCGCGUGUGUGAAGAAGGCCUUCGGGUUGUAAAGCACUUUCAGUGGGGAAGAAAGCCUUGGGGCUAAUACCCUCGAGGAAGGACAUCACUCACAGAAGAAGCACCGGCUAACUCCGUGCCAGCAGCCGCGGUAAUACGGAGGGUGCGAGCGUUAAUCGGAAUUACUGGGCGUAAAGCGCGCGUAGGCGGUCUGAUAAGCCGGUUGUGAAAGCCCCGGGCUCAACCUGGGAACGGCAUCCGGAACUGUCAGGCUAGAGUGCAGGAGAGGAAGGUAGAAUUCCCGGUGUAGCGGUGAAAUGCGUAGAGAUCGGGAGGAAUACCAGUGGCGAAGGCGGCCUUCUGGACUGACACUGACGCUGAGGUGCGAAAGCGUGGGGAGCAAACAGGAUUAGAUACCCUAGUAGUC
Molecule: ribosomal RNA, 465 nt
Filed under: Vreelandella stevensii
Lineage: Bacteria; Pseudomonadati; Pseudomonadota; Gammaproteobacteria; Oceanospirillales; Halomonadaceae
Description: partial 16S ribosomal RNA
Rfam family: Bacterial small subunit ribosomal RNA
Source: RNAcentral